Molecule: ribosomal RNA, 435 nt
Filed under: uncultured Oscillospiraceae bacterium
Lineage: Bacteria; Bacillati; Bacillota; Clostridia; Eubacteriales; Oscillospiraceae
Description: bacterial SSU rRNA
Rfam family: Bacterial small subunit ribosomal RNA
Source: RNAcentral
ACGGGAGGCAGCAGUCGGGAAUAUUGCGCAAUGGAGGAAACUCUGACGCAGUGACGCCGCGUAUAGGAAGAAGGUUUUCGGAUUGUAAACUAUUGUCGUUAGGGAAGAGAAAGGACAGUACCUAAGGAGGAAGCUCCGGCUAACUACGUGCCAGCAGCCGCGGUAAUACGUAGGGAGCAAGCGUUAUCCGGAAUUAUUGGGUGUAAAGGGUGCGUAGACGGGAAAAUAAGUUAGUUGUGAAAUCCCUCGGCUUAACUGAGGAACUGCAACUAAAACUGUUUUUCUUGAGUGCAGGAGAGGUAAGUGGAAUUCCUAGUGUAGCGGUGAAAUGCGUAGAUAUUAGGAGGAACACCAGUGGCGAAGGCGGCUUACUGGGCUCUAACUGACGCUGAGGCACGAAAGUGUGGGUAGCAAACAGGAUUAGAUACCCUGGUA